UCAGCCACGACAUCACCUGAGGCUACCGUCGGCUUCCACGUGGAUCAGGGCCGCUGGCCUUCCCGAGGGACCCGACCGGCCGGCAGGGGGCAGUACAUAUCAGAGACCGGCUGGCAGGUGGCAUUAGAGGUCAGAGAUCGGCCGGCAGGUGGCAGUACAAGUCAGAGACCGGCCGGCAGGUGGCAGUAGAGGAGUGCGGGGGGCCGGCGGCGGCGUGGCUACCCGGAUGGUGGUGGGGCUGGUUGCACUGGGCCUCUCACUUUCUCCUCCUCUUUUUCUUAGUUGCAUGUUUUUUGAUUUACAUUGUUUGUUGUGGAUGCGGCGCUGGAGGGAGGGAGGGCCAUGUCCUAGAGUUUGUCCCCCCCCUUUUCCCUUCUUAGCCCGCUGCAGCCUACGGCCCCAAUAGAAUCAAAUUUUCUUUUUAUUCUUUGACGACAUUCCCAGAGCUGACGGGAAUUAUUGAAAUGAAUUGUUUCGUACCUGUUGAUAUUUUAAGAAACUCAAAUAAAUAUUGUGCUCUGGGGGAAUAUUGUUGCUUUGGUCUGUUUACACUGGUGGUCUGUGGGUCCGUGGUGGAUUAAUAUCCCUACGGGACGAUAACCGUACCUACCGGCGGUUACACAUUCAAGCAGAUCGAGUACAGACGUAUGCCGAGUUAUCCUGUUUUUGAGGGGCGGGAUGAGGCUCGACCCUUGUGUUUG
Long non-coding RNA from Gasterosteus aculeatus aculeatus (three-spined stickleback), 701 nucleotides. The record is from Ensembl. Lineage: Eukaryota; Metazoa; Chordata; Actinopteri; Perciformes; Gasterosteidae.